This 1118-nucleotide unclassified non-coding RNA is filed under the name Hevea brasiliensis (rubber tree). Lineage: Eukaryota; Viridiplantae; Streptophyta; Magnoliopsida; Malpighiales; Euphorbiaceae. The record is from RNAcentral.
UUGAUUGGUUGAAGACAGUUUAUGAUUUUGAUGAUUUUAUGAACUGGAUUUGGUACAAAGGUGGUGUGUUUGCAAAAGCUGAACAGAGUUGGGAAAGAUGGUGGUGUGAGGAGCAAGAACAUUUGAGGACAACUGGGCUGUGGGGAAAGUUACUGGAGAUAGUUUUGGACCUUCGUUUCUUCUUUUUCCAAUAUGGCAUUGUCUAUCAAUUAGGCAUUGCUGAUAACAGUACCAGCAUUGCUGUUUACUUGCUGUCUUGGAUUUAUGUUAUUGUUGCUUUUGCAAUUUCUUGGGUGAUAGCAUAUGCUAGGGACAAAUAUGCGGCAAGAGAACAUAUCUACUAUCGACUGGUCCAGUUUCUUAUCAUCACACUUGGAAUAGUUGUGAUAGUAGCCUUGCUUGAGUUUACAUCUUUCAGAUUUAUGGAUAUAUUCACCAGUUUGCUUGCUUUUAUCCCCACUGGAUGGGGCAUGUUAUUGAUUGCCCAAGUACUUCGCCCCUUUCUGCAGUCCACUCCACUUUGGGGCGCAGUUGUUUCCAUGGCUCGGCUUUACGACAUAAUGUUUGGAGUGAUAGUUAUGGCCCCUGUGGCAUUUCUUUCAUGGAUGCCUGGAUUCCAAUCAAUGCAGACAAGGAUCCUAUUCAAUGAGGCAUUUAGUAGGGGCCUCAGAAUCUUCCAGAUUCUCACAGGGAAAAAAUCUAAGGUUGAUGUGUGAUUUGAGCUCUUAAGUCAUUAUGCGGCAUAUACAGAUGGAUUGGCCAGAUUUUCUCAGUUCUUCUGUGCAACUGUGCAAGUCUGACAUGGGUGGCUACCAGUGCAAUAAAAAAUUCUGUAAGAGCGAGGGGAUAAUUCUAUUUGGUUCUUCAUUCGGGAAUCAUCUUUUAUUGCUGUUGUAAUUAGUGAGAUAUAUCAUGCUUCCAUUGAUGUUUAUUUUGGGGGGCUAUACAUGCUUUAACGUUCCACAUUUCUGAAACAACAGCUCUUCACGUAUGGUGUCUAUAAAAUGAGGUUAGUGUGGUAGUCUGUGAUUUGCUAGAGUAUUUGUUAUUCUUUUUGACAGAUGUGCAGCUUUAUUUAUCUAUUUAUUUAUUUUUAACUCGGUAGUUUGCUUUGAUUU